UACGUAGGGGGCAAGCGUUGUCCGGAAUCAUUGGGCGUAAAGAGCGUGUAGGCGGUUCGGUAAGUCGGCUGUGAAAGUCCAGGGCUCAACCCUGGGAUGCCGGUCGAUACUGCCGGACUAGAGUUCGGAAGAGGCGAGUGGAAUUCCCGGUGUAGCGGUGAAAUGCGCAGAUAUCGGGAGGAACACCUAUGGCGAAGGCAGCUCGCUGGGACGUUACUGACACUGAGGAGCGAAAGCCAGGGGAGCAAACGGG
RNAcentral lists this ribosomal RNA (253 nucleotides) under uncultured bacterium. RNAcentral describes it as "partial 16S ribosomal RNA". It matches the Rfam family "Bacterial small subunit ribosomal RNA", at positions 524 to 776 of the family's 1533-position model. The record is from RNAcentral.